CAAUUAUUUUAAUUUGUGGAGAAAUACAGCACGGGCCGUUGUCUAAAAUGUCUUUAUCCUUGCCAGAAUGCUGUUAAGGUUAUUGCCCAGAUAUAUGACUGUGCAAGUGUCAUGUCAGGUCAUAUUAAUGGAGUCCAAUAAAAAUUUAAAGACUUAUCCUUGUGCAAUUUACACCCACUGCAUGGCACACCGACCAAACUUAGUUGUUGUUGAUACGUGCAAAAAUAUUAAGGUUUUUUUAACGUACUUGAAGCUGUUAUGUCCAUUUUUAAAGACCUUCAAAAAAUUCAAAGUUAUGUGGUAUACAAUCUAAAUUAGGUUUUAAAAAAAGGCAAUAUGUUAAGGGUAUGUGAUACUAGAUGGGUUUGCAGGUACAAAAGUUGCGAGGCUAUGUUAAACAAUUUUAAUGCAAUUGUGAAUAUCUUGAAAAAAAAAUUAAUGAACAAUCCGAUAAAGAUACUGCUCAAGAUUUUGGCAUAUUAAGUUCUAUAUAAAAAUGUGAAUUCAUUAUUUUUCUUAUUAUUUUUAAUGAUGUUUUGAGUAUAAUGAACAUAUUAAGUAAUAGUUUACAAAAUAAAAACAUUUGAAACAUCAAGAACAGAUGAAGAAUUCCAUAAUGUUUGGAAAAAUUUAGUUACAUUUGCUGAUGAAAAUAACAUAAACUUACAAAUUUCAACUAUUGUUUAAAUUUAUAAUAAAAGGAUCCAAAUGUCAAAGAAAGGAAACUCAAAAUCUUCAUGAUUAUGUGGCGUUUGCAACUAGUGGAGCAGAAAAUGAAGUAGUAGAUUCAAACACUACGGUUGAAAUGUACUGGCGAAGAGUAGCCUA
Metopolophium dirhodum (rose-grain aphid) is the source of this 828-nucleotide long non-coding RNA. RefSeq lists it as uncharacterized. The transcript is spliced from 4 exons. The record is from RefSeq and is a predicted model, not a curated record. Lineage: Eukaryota; Metazoa; Arthropoda; Insecta; Hemiptera; Aphididae.